RNAcentral lists this ribosomal RNA (497 nucleotides) under uncultured bacterium. RNAcentral's name for it is "partial 16S ribosomal RNA". It matches the Rfam family "Bacterial small subunit ribosomal RNA", at positions 28 to 507 of the family's 1533-position model. The record is from RNAcentral.
GGCGAACGCUGGCGGCGUGCCUAAUACAUGCAAGUUGAGCGCUGAAGGUUGGUACUUGUACCGACUGGAUGAGCAGCGAACGGGUGAGUAACGCGUGGGGAAUCUGCCUUUGAGCGGGGGACAACAUUUGGAAACGAAUGCUAAUACCGCAUAAAAACUUUAAACACAAGUUUUAAGUUUGAAAGAUGCAAUUGCAUCACUCAAAGAUGAUCCCGCGUUGUAUUAGCUAGUUGGCGAGGUAAAGGCUCACCAAGGCGAUGAUACAUAGCCGACCUGAGAGGGUGAUCGGCCACAUUGGGACUGAGACACGGCCCAAACUCCUACGGGAGGCAGCAGUAGGGAAUCUUCGGCAAUGGACGAAAGUCUGACCGAGCAACGCCGCGUGAGUGAAGAAGGUUUUCGGAUCGUAAAACUCUGUUGGUAGAGAAGAACGUUGGUGAGAGUGGAAAGCUCAUCAAGUGACGGUAACUACCCAGAAAGGGACGGCUAACUACGUG